CCUACGGGUGGCAGCAGUAGGGAAUAUUGCUCAAUGGGGGAAACCCUGAAGCAGCAACGCCGCGUGGAGGAUGAAGGUUUUCUGAUUGUAAACUCCUUUUGUUAGAGAAGAUAAUGACGGUAUCUAACGAAUAAGCACCGGCUAACUCCGUGCCAGCAGCCGCGGUAAUACGGAGGGUGCAAGCGUUACUCGGAAUCACUGGGCGUAAGGAGCGCGUAGGCGGGAUAGCAAGUCAGAUGUGAAAUCCUAUGGCGUAACCAUAGAACUGCAUUUGAAACUGUUAUUCUAGAGUAUGGGAGAGGUAGGUGGAAUUCUUGGUGUAGGGGUAAAAUCCGUAGAGAUCAAGAGGAAUACUCAUUGCGAAGGCGACCUGCUAGAACAUAACUGACGCUGAUGCGCGAAAGCGUGGGGAGCAAACAGGAUUAGAUACCCGAGUAGUC
This 440-nucleotide ribosomal RNA is filed under the name uncultured bacterium. RNAcentral describes it as "partial 16S ribosomal RNA". It matches the Rfam family "Bacterial small subunit ribosomal RNA", at positions 338 to 795 of the family's 1533-position model. The record is from RNAcentral.